UACGGGGGGGGCAAGCGUUGUUCGGAAUUACUGGGCGUAAAGGGCUCGUAGGCGGCCAACUAAGUCAGACGUGAAAUCCCUCGGCUUAACCGGGGAACUGCGUCUGAUACUGGAUGGCUUGAGUUUGGGAGAGGGAUGCGGAAUUCCAGGUGUAGCGGUGAAAUGCGUAGAUAUCUGGAGGAACACCGGUGGCGAAGGCGGCAUCCUGGACCAACACUGACGCUGAAAAGCGAAAGCCAGGGGAGCAAACGGG
RNAcentral lists this ribosomal RNA (253 nucleotides) under uncultured bacterium. RNAcentral's name for it is "partial 16S ribosomal RNA". It matches the Rfam family "Bacterial small subunit ribosomal RNA", at positions 524 to 776 of the family's 1533-position model. The record is from RNAcentral.